Molecule: ribosomal RNA, 400 nt
Filed under: phytoplankton environmental sample
Lineage: Eukaryota
Description: partial small subunit ribosomal RNA
Rfam family: Eukaryotic small subunit ribosomal RNA
Source: RNAcentral
AGCUCCAAUAGCGUAUAUUAAAGUUGUUGCAGUUAAAAAGCUCGUAGUUGGAUUUGUGGCUGUCUCGAGCGGCCUGACACCUAGUGUUAGUGUUUGUUUGAGUCGCCAUCCUUGGGUGGAACCUGUGUGGCAUUAGGUUGUCGUGCAGGGGAUGCCCAUCGUUUACUGUGAAAAAAUUAGAGUGUUCAAAGCAGGCUUAUGCCGUUGAAUAUAUUAGCAUGGAAUAAUAAGAUAGGACCUUGGUACUAUUUUGUUGGUUUGCGCACCAAGGUAAUGAUUAAUAGGGACAGUUGGGGGUAUUCGUAUUCCAUUGUCAGAGGUGAAAUUCUUGGAUUUCUGGAAGACGAACUACUGCGAAAGCAUUUACCAAGGAUGUUUUCAUUAAUCAAGAACGAAAGUA